RNAcentral lists this long non-coding RNA (246 nucleotides) under Elaeis guineensis (African oil palm). Its description in RNAcentral is "long non-coding RNA (EGUI_LNC046859)". The record is from RNAcentral. Lineage: Eukaryota; Viridiplantae; Streptophyta; Magnoliopsida; Arecales; Arecaceae.
CAGGGCAUCGAUCCUCUAAGAUAUAAAAGAAGAAAAAAGUACAAAAAUCUCAUGCCACCGAUCUUAAGUAGAGCAAAUCGUCAAAAAUUGAUAAGAGCCAGGCAGAAUGCUUCUCUGUAAGAAGCUGGGUCAUUGAAAAAGAAAUUAUCCUACUUAUAUAGCCACCCUUGACCCAAAUAGGCCUAAGAACAAGAGAAAGAAGCAAGCGGUUGCUUCAUAAGGUACUUAUAUGAUAACACCUUAUAA